This 253-nucleotide ribosomal RNA is filed under the name uncultured bacterium. RNAcentral's name for it is "partial 16S ribosomal RNA". It matches the Rfam family "Bacterial small subunit ribosomal RNA", at positions 524 to 776 of the family's 1533-position model. The record is from RNAcentral.
UACGUAGGGGGCUAGCGUUGUCCGGAUUUAUUGGGCGUAAAGAGCGUGUAGGCGGCCAGAUAGGUCUGCUGUGAAAACUCGAGGCUCAACCUCGAGCUGUCGGCGGAAACCAUUUGGCUAGAGUCCGGAAGAGGAGAGUGGAAUUCCAGGUGUAGCGGUGAAAUGCGUAGAUAUCGGGAGGAACACCUGUGGCGAAGGCGGCCGCCUGGUUGGAUACUGACGCUGAGACGCGAAAGCGUGGGGAGCAAACAGG